Molecule: ribosomal RNA, 497 nt
Filed under: uncultured bacterium
Lineage: Bacteria
Description: partial 16S ribosomal RNA
Rfam family: Bacterial small subunit ribosomal RNA
Source: RNAcentral
GACGAACGCUGGCGGCGUGCCUAAUACAUGCAAGUUGAGCGCUGAAGGUUGGUACUUGUCCCAACUGGAUGAGCAGCGAACGGGUGAGUAACGCGUGGGGAAUCUGCCUUUGAGCGGGGGACAACAUUUGGAAACGAAUGCUAAUACCGCAUAAAAACUUUAAACACAAGUUUUAAGUUUGAAAGAUGCAAUUGCAUCACUCAAAGAUGAUCCCGCGUUGUAUUAGCUAGUUGGUGAGGUAAAGGCUCACCAAGGCGAUGAUACAUAGCCGACCUGAGAGGGUGAUCGGCCACAUUGGGACUGAGACACGGCCCAAACUACUACGGGAGGCAGCAGUAGGGAAUCUUCGGCAAUGGACGAAAGUCUGACCGAGCAACGCCGCGUGAGUGAAGAAGGGUGUCGGAUCGUAAAACUCUGUAGGUAGAGAAGAACGUUGGUGAGAGUGGAAAGCUCAUCAAGUGACGGUAACUACCCAGAAAGGGACGGCUAACUACGUG